Molecule: non-coding RNA, 908 nt
Organism: Nylanderia fulva
Lineage: Eukaryota; Metazoa; Arthropoda; Insecta; Hymenoptera; Formicidae
Source: RefSeq, a predicted model, not a curated record
UGUCAAUACCAUAGUUGGCAAUUAAUUCUAGUAUGACCGACAGAUUGAAAGUCUCUAGAAGUAAGUCUCUAGUAACUUUUACUUUUAGCAAUUAUUACUAGAAUGAAAAAUUACUAGGGAAUUAUUUCUAGGAACUCUAGAUAAAUUCUGACAGCAAUAAUCAGAAGUGUGUGUAUUUACUUUGUUGUAAAUUUUUCUCUUUGUUGUCUACGUAGUGACGCAAUUAAGAAGUAAUAAUUUUAUGUGAAAACAAUGUUUAUUUUUUAUAAAGGACAACAUUAUUAAUAAUAGAUGUACAAUUCAUGAUAUUAACAAUGGAUGUAAUUGCCAAUAACACAGUCAAGGCAGAUGUACCUUAAUAUUUUAAGGCAGAUGGAAAAAGAUUUUGAUAUGGAUGAGAAGAUCUCUAUAUUAUUUUUAAUAGCAGACGAUUAUGCAAAUGCUACUUGCAUGUUCUACUAUAUUUUACCGACAUCGUACCGACAGGCCUAUUUAGUAGGCGACACAAACUCCCGUAAGGCAUUGAUUUUAAUAUAAAAGUCGCUGUUCAGAAAAACUUGCCGAUAGAGUAGAAAUUGUCAAAAUAAAGGCAAUGUUUAUAUAUUCAUCUUCUUACAAACAAAUUCAGAUUAAUGCCGGAAUAAUAUUGUGCUUCAUUGUCAAAAAUUUAUUAACACACAUGAUAUACAUAUAUUAAAAAUGAUUAAACGAAAAUGACCGAAUUGGAUCACAGUUAAUUCUAAGAGCCAUCCGGAUAGAAUUGGUUAUUUUAAUAUGAAAACAAAUCUACAUGAACCGUACCAGUUGACGAUGAAAUCAAGACAUCUUGUCAGAUUGCAAACACAAAUGUGUUUGGAUGUCAUUGAUUUUGAUGUUCCUUUUAUAUAUGAUGAAUUUUGUGUUUUAUA